RNAcentral lists this unclassified non-coding RNA (338 nucleotides) under Hevea brasiliensis (rubber tree). Lineage: Eukaryota; Viridiplantae; Streptophyta; Magnoliopsida; Malpighiales; Euphorbiaceae. The record is from RNAcentral.
UGUUCUUGACAUUUUCCAUGGCUGCACUUCGAAGUUUGAGUUGAUAGUAAACAUGGGCCAGCCCCCUGGAAAUUGCCAAAUCAUUUCCCUUCUUUGGCAAAGAAGCGGUUUCGAAGUCGAGAUUAACAGAGAACGUAAGCGCAGACCUGAAAAAAACAAGGAGCACAGAAAAUGUUAUUGAAGUUUGGCAGCAACAGCCGUACAGAACUUUCAUGAGAAUCGCCCACAUAAGCACUGAAAUUUGAAGUUUGGAACCUGCCGACUGUUGGUCGUAAAUGUUUCUUUCUUCCUAGGGAUUACUAGCUAUCAUAUGUGAUUUCCUUUUCAUUUUUCGUUUU